GCUCCUUUUCCUUGAACACACAGCCUCACUCAACCCACUUCAACCCUAGAAAAGCCACCAUUGAUUUGAACCACCACACCUCCACUGCUUCAAUCAAACCCAUUCUCACAUAGCAAAAAUCUCUUUGGCAUCGCACCUCCAUCGUCAUCGUUGCACAGCCAUCAUCAUCAUCGCACGGCCAAAGUCAUCGUCGCACAGCCAUCGUCAUCCCCGCACAACCAACGUCAUCGUCGCACACAAGCGUCAUCAUCGCACACCAGCGUCAUCGUCGCACAAUUGAUUGAUGUUCGAGAAGCCCAAGAAGUAUUUCUCGCUGCUUGCCAAAUAUCUGAUUCUCCAGCUUCAACCUCCAUUGAUUCAAACGUACUCGUGUCAGUGCCAACGAUGGAUGAAGUUAACUCAGUACCAACAAUGGAUGAAGCUAACUCAGUGCCAACGAUGAUGGAGGUAAACCAGGGGGUGGAAGAAGGUUUUGCUUCUAAUCAGCUUCCACCUAUGACUGAAUCUACACCAGUGAUUGUGAACUCUCAAGCUUAGACUGGUGCAUCUGAUCAACUUCCACCGUUACCUUCCCAAAAAAAGAGAAAACCGACUAGGAAACCAAGUGAGGUGUGGAAUCACUUUGAACAAUAUCAAACUGGAAAAAGGCUAUGAAGGAAAAGUGAAGAAAGAGACAAGAAGAUAAAGAGGCAGUGCUUUUAUCUCAUGAGAUAGAUAGGUAUUUGUCGGAUGCAGCAGAAGAAGAUAUUGAACAAUUUGAUAUUUUAAAUUGGUGAAGGGUGAAUGCUUCUAAAUAUCCAGUUUUAGCGGUCAUUGCAAGAGAUGUGCUUGCAAUUCCAGUCUCUACAGUUGCUUCAGAAUCUACUUUUAGCACGGGAGGGAGAACAAUUAACUCAUUUCGUAGUUCCUGGAGUCCUACUAUGGUUGAGGCCUUAAUUUGUACACAAAAUUGGUUGAAGUCCACUUCAAUAUCUUUAAAAGUUUAGCCCACUAUUGAGGAGAUGGAGUUUUAUGAAACAAUUGAGUCAGAAAUGCGGAGAUCAAAUGCUAAUGCGCCUGUGCACAUUUUCACUGAUUGAUUCUCUAUUGAUGCACAACCUUGCAAAUAUGUAUGGGGACAUGCUGGAAACUGGGCAGCCUUCAAUGAAAUGGAAAUUAUGAACUUGUUUUUUGGAUAGCCUUUCAUUUCUUAGUUUUAUCAUCUUGUAUUCAUUUCUUAUGAACUUUAGAAUGUUUGUUUUGAUGGAAAUUGUGAACUUAUAUGCAUGCUGGAAAUUGGACAACUUUUGAUUAAAUGGAAAUUAUGAACUUGUAUUUU
This is a non-coding RNA of Prunus mume (Japanese apricot), 1318 nucleotides long. NCBI's taxonomy places the organism in Eukaryota, Viridiplantae, Streptophyta, Magnoliopsida, Rosales, Rosaceae. The record is from RefSeq and is a predicted model, not a curated record.